Long non-coding RNA from Hippopotamus amphibius kiboko, 1117 nucleotides. RefSeq lists it as uncharacterized. Lineage: Eukaryota; Metazoa; Chordata; Mammalia; Artiodactyla; Hippopotamidae. The transcript has 4 exons. The record is from RefSeq and is a predicted model, not a curated record.
CAUAGAAACAACACCAGAAAUCCAGAGUUCGUGAAAUAUUGCCUUGUGCAGCUUGAGAAGUAUGAAGACUCAGAACUGAUUUUCAACCCAGAAUGUGACUUCUUUGUUGCCACCAUUGAUUCUUACCCAGAAGAUUUCUGAUAGGAUGAGAGUUAUUCAUGGCUUUUGAAACACCUUUGCUUUUCUGACUCACAUUACUUAUAAUUGUUGGACAACAUAAUAUGGACCAGAUGGCUUCAUUAUUCUGCAUUUCACAUUUUGAAUUUUAAAUGUCAUGUUGGACCACUUGUCAGUGGCCAGCUGUGUCCUGGAGGAGGAGAUGAGGCCAGACCGUAGAUCAAACAUCCUGGGUCAGAUACCAUGGACAGCCUUCAGAUUCAGACUGGAACUACACAUUAGCUUUCUUGGGUCUCCAGCCUGCCAACUCAUCCUGCAAAUCUUGGGACUUCUCAUCCCCAUAAUCAUGUGAGCCAAUUCCGUAUAAUAAAUCUCUCUCUGUGUCUCUGUCACACACACACGCACAGACACACACACCCUAUUGAUUCUGUUUCUCUGGAUAACGCUGACUAACACAAAGGGCAAGGCAACGAAUGCUGUCGCCUUUCUUAGAGGGACACAUAGACGGUCCUGGCCAAUAGACAGGGAAGGAGCUGAAGGAAUAAAUACUUAAAUCUCACCCUUCUCUCUGGUGCUUCCAAUUGGUUGAACUCACCAGGAAGUUCUAGAGCAAUGGAGCCAGUGGAGGCAGUCUUUAAAGAGUCUGGGAUACAGAGCAGGAUGGAGAAGGAUGAAAAGUGGGUCUAGAGGGGCUAAUGGAGGCUUUCCAGAUAAUGUAUCUAAAACAACCAUUGUUACCACUUUCAUAUAUAACCUCCCAGAGAUAUGCUAUGCAUACAAAAGCAUAUAUGGUGAUCUUGGUAAUUUCCAGGAUAUUUCAAACUCUUCCAAAAAUAUCACUUUGAUGGCUGCAUAAUAUUAAAAAUCCUUUUACUAUGAAAUAGUCUUACAUAGAUGUUACAUUUAUAUAAUAUAAAAAUAGUAAUGAAUGAAAGUCCUAUGUAUCCCUUCAUCCUGCUUAAGAACUAGAACACUGCCAAAACUUCAGGACCACUGUGGG